This 20-nucleotide small nuclear RNA is filed under the name Arabidopsis thaliana (thale cress). RNAcentral's name for it is "snRNA_18474". Lineage: Eukaryota; Viridiplantae; Streptophyta; Magnoliopsida; Brassicales; Brassicaceae. The record is from RNAcentral.
AUGUUAAACACUUAUCCCAA